GCUCGACUCUUGCAUUAUAAUACUAGGCUAUCCUUUGCUGAUAUGCAACCAUCCGAACUUGAGUUUGCUAUCGGAGUUCUGGAAGGAGAUCUAAGUCAGCUCUCUGAUAUUCGGAGUUGCUCGGUUCACUAUAUUGUUUCACUCUUGUUGAUGGCAAUCCGAUCUCGAGCGGUAUCAUUGCUUCUGUCCCAUAAGCUAAAUUAAAGGAAGAUUCUUCGAUCGGUAUGUGGGGAGUCGUUCAUAUGUCCAUA
RNAcentral lists this long non-coding RNA (251 nucleotides) under Elaeis guineensis (African oil palm). Its description in RNAcentral is "long non-coding RNA (EGUI_LNC076970)". The record is from RNAcentral. Lineage: Eukaryota; Viridiplantae; Streptophyta; Magnoliopsida; Arecales; Arecaceae.